CUUAGAAGCAGCCACCCUUGAAAGAGUGCGUAAUAGCUCACUGGUCAAGUGAUUCCGCGCCGACAAUGUAGCGGGGCUCAAGUACACCGCCGAAGCUGUGGCAGUCACGCGUACGCCUGGCCUUGCGGUCCAGGCGCGUGGCUGGGUAGGGGAGCGUCGUGUGGCGGGAGAAGCAGCGGGGUGACCCAGCUGUGGACGCCACACGAGUGAGAAUGCAGGCAUGAGUAGCGAAAGACGGGUGAGAAACCCGUCCGCCGAAUGACCAAGGGUUCCAGGGCCAGGUUAAUCCGCCCUGGGUAAGUCGGGACCUAAGGCGAGGCCGACAGGCGUAGUCGAUGGACAACGGGUUGAUAUUCCCGUACCGGCUUUGGUGCGCCCAUGCUGACCCCGGUGAUGCUAACCGCCCGAACCGUGUGGCCCGCCUUCGGGUGAGCCGCGUGGGGAGCGCGGGACCCGAACCGGUAGUAGGCAAGCAAUGGGGUGACGCAGGAAGGCAGCCCAACCCGGGCGAUGGUUGUCCCGGGGUAACGGUGUAGGGCGCGUGGUAGGCAAAUCCGCCACGCACACGCCUGAGACCGGAUGCCGAGCCGAUUGCGGCGAAGUGGGUGAUCCUAUGCUGCCGAGAAAAGCCUCUAGCGAGUGCCAAGGCCGCCCGUACCCCAAACCGACACAGGUGGUCAGGUAGAGAAUACCAAGGCGAUCGAGUGAACCAUGGUUAAGGAACUCGGCAAAAUCCCCCCGUAACUUCGGGAGAAGGGGGGCCGGAUUCGUGUAGUCCUUCGCGGACGAAGCGAUGAAGGCCGCAGAGACCAGGCCCAAGCGACUGUUUACUAAAAACACAGGUCCGUGCGAAGUCGCAAGACGAUGUAUACGGACUGACGCCUGCCCGGUGCUGGAACGUUAAGGGGACGGGUCAGCCCUUCGGGGCGAAGCUCAGAACUUAAGCGCCAGUAAACGGCGGUGGUAACUAUAACCAUCCUAAGGUAGCGAAAUUCCUUGUCGGGUAAGUUCCGACCUGCACGAAUGGCGUAACGACUUGGGCGCUGUCUCAACCAUGGACUCGGCGAAAUUGCACUACGAGUAAAGAUGCUCGUUACCCGCAGCAGGACGGAAAGACCCCGGGACCUUUACUACAGCUUGGUAUUGGUGUUCGGUUCGGCUUGUGUAGGAUAGGUGGGAGACUGUGAAGUCGGCACGCCAGUGUCGGUGGAGUCAACGUUGAAAUACCACUCUGGUCGUACUGGAUAUCUAACCUCGGUCCGUGAUCCGGAUCAGGGACAGUGCCUGGUGGGUAGUUUAACUGGGGCGGUUGCCUCCUAAAGUGUAACGGAGGCGCCCAAAGGUUCCCUCAGCCUGGUUGGCAAUCAGGUGGCGAGUGCAAGUGCACAAGGGAGCUUGACUGUGAGACAGACAUGUCGAGCAGGUGCGAAAGCAGGGACUAGUGAUCCGGCAGUGGCUUGUGGAAGCGCUGUCGCUCAACGGAUAAAAGGUACCCCGGGGAUAACAGGCUGAUCUUGCCCAAGAGUCCAUAUCGACGGCAUGGUUUGGCACCUCGAUGUCGGCUCGUCGCAUCCUGGGGCCGGAGUAGGUCCCAAGGGUUGGGCUGUUCGCCCAUUAAAGCGGUACGCGAGCUGGGUUUAGAACGUCGUGAGACAGUUCGGUCCCUAUCCGCUGCGGGCGCAGGAGACUUGAGAAGGGCUGUCCCUAGUACGAGAGGACCGGGACGGACGAACCUCUGGUGUGCCAGUUGUUCCGCCAGGAGCACGGCUGGUUGGCUACGUUCGGAAGAGAUAACCGCUGAAAGCAUCUAAGCGGGAAGCUCGCUUC
This 1827-nucleotide ribosomal RNA is filed under the name Acidobacteriota bacterium. RNAcentral's name for it is "Acidobacteria bacterium partial 23S ribosomal RNA". It matches the Rfam family "Bacterial large subunit ribosomal RNA", at positions 1105 to 2800 of the family's 2925-position model. Lineage: Bacteria; Pseudomonadati; Acidobacteriota. The record is from RNAcentral.